ACGGCGUGAGAAACAGGAGGGAAAUCAAAUUUCGUUUUAAAAUGUAAACGCACAAAAAAUAAAACCAAUUUCAACAGGUACCGCUUUGUUCGCCAUUCACUGUCUCUGGUUUCUACCCUCUUCCCUUCCUGCGCCAAACUCACACGACACCAACAUUCGCCUAUCGAUUAGAUUAACCACGAUGAGGCGUUUUGGUCGGUGAAGUGCGCGUGGCGACGGUGUUCCCAAGCCAGGCAUGGCAAAAGUGGCAAAA
Cajanus cajan (pigeon pea) is the source of this 253-nucleotide non-coding RNA. The record is from RefSeq and is a predicted model, not a curated record. Lineage: Eukaryota; Viridiplantae; Streptophyta; Magnoliopsida; Fabales; Fabaceae.